GCCACUUUAAAUCCUAACCGCCACCUAUGAUUCUAGCCACCAUUUAAAACCCUAGCCACCACUUAAAACCCUAGCUGCUACCUUGAUAACUUUUUUUCAUCCUUUUGCUGUCCUUUGACCAUUAACAACUUAUCUAAGAUAAUAUCUUUUACCAUCUAACUUAUCCUCCAUUUAUUUUAACACUCCCACUUUGCUAUUGGUCAAAGGCUAAUAAAUCUAAUCCCUUUGUUAAUUUAUAAUAUCUAUCUUUCACUAAUGCUUUUGUGAGUAAAUCAGCAAGCAUGUCUUCCAUUGCACAAUAUUUCAUGUCAAUUAUUCCCA
Molecule: long non-coding RNA, 321 nt
Filed under: Physcomitrium patens
Lineage: Eukaryota; Viridiplantae; Streptophyta; Bryopsida; Funariales; Funariaceae
Description: long non-coding RNA (PPAT_LNC013544)
Source: RNAcentral